GUGCUUGACUGGAGGAGGGCUGGCAGCAGAAGUGCAGCUGACCGGGUUGCGUUUUCGUACGGCUGACUAAAGCGGAUACCGGUGGCGACUCAUUUCUCGUUUUAUUUUUCAACGAUUUGGCGGAGAAGCUCCUCUUGUGAAUGGACUUUGGAUUUCUUGGAGCUGCGCUGCGGGUCCCACAGUGUGGCUUUCGGCCCGUGCUGUGCUGGCGCCUGCACUUCCUCUGGCGGGGCACGGGGUGGCGCUCCCUGGUAAAGCAGCGGCCAGGGGGAGCCGUGAGUGAGGCGCUGCCUCUCCCGCUGAAGCGGGUUCCAAGGCCACCGUGAGGGGGACCAUCCAUCCAGGAGAGUACUGGGCAGGCUGCAAAUGUCUGUGUUAAAACAGCUCUGCUGGGCUAAGACAGGACAGAAGCAGACAGCAGGUGGAUGAGACACAAUUUCCUAUCCAGCAGAACCUGCAGCAAGCUCCACAGCACCCUCCAUGGGCUCAGUCUUGCUCCCGGGAAGAUGGUUAAUUCCAUCAGCUCCUUCUGGCCGGCAGCAGGAAGAGUGGCCCUGUGUGUGCCAGGCCCUGCAGUCUCUCCUCUCAGCUGGUGUCUCCAGUGAGGGACCUGAGUCAUCGCACACAUGAGCCUGUGCUCAGCCUGCACAUCUCCCGCCUCCCACCAGCUGCUCCUCAACUGCCAGGGCCAGACUGUGGCAAAAUCUCACUCCUCUGCCGAUGCUGGGGUUUCCCUCGUGUCUGGGAGGUGGUGUGCUUGGUGGCCUGAGCACUGCAGUGAAUCCAUGUUUCCCUCCCAGCACCCUGUUCUGUCCUCCAACUUGGCCGACAGCUCUGGCCAGGGACGCAGCCCAGCUGGUGCCCACCCCGCACUCUGUCCAUUUCAUAAGAGCCCUUGGUUUCCUCACUUCCCUCAGAUUUUGCCAAGAGAAUGGUCCUGGUGUGGCCCAGAAAGGCCAGCGGGGUGCAGCCUGGGACUGAAAGCAGAGGCGGCUCUGGUGGGGAAAAAGUAGCUCUCCCAGCCUAGCCCUACUGGUGGGCGGCACCUCCUGGCUCCAGGCCAUCUUUUGUCCCAGUCCUAGGUAAGAAAAACACAAACAAAAGCCAGUCCCAUGGCACUCGAGAAGCAGGAGGCCGUUCCCUGACAGCAACAUGCUGUGUGCACAGACACACGGGUGGACAGGAGGCAGAGCUCGGGGUUGCUGCGGAGCGGGCAGGACACUGGAGCGGCAGGCAGUGCGGACCCGCCGGGCAGCCGUGCACGGUUGUCGUCCUCAGCGGCAGGAGCCAGUUUGUUGCUCAGGGCCUUGUCUUUUUACAAAGAGCCCCAGGCCCCGGGGGCUUCUCUGGGUGCCUCUUUGCUGCCAUGUCUGCACGCGGGCGGAGAGCAGACCAGGCUACCGACCCUCUCGCUUUGCUGUCUUCACGUGGAAAAGCCAGUGUCGUAGCCCCAAAGGAGGGGAAACUGUAUUGAUUUGGGGAGCCUCUAUGUUGAUUUCAAAACAGAUUGUCUCCUGUGUUCUCAAAGACUGGAAGCGAACCCCACAACCGCCUUAGGCCACAAAAGCUUUAUCCUUUCUAAUUAGCAUCCCUGUGACCUGCUCUGCGCCCUGCAGAUAUUUUGCUCAGCCAGCCAGAAGGAGGGAGGCCAGACACCAGCCCCCACAGACCUGCGGCUGCGACCCCCUGCCUGGGGACGAUGGGGUCGGGGUCCAGUAGCUGCCCCAGAAACAAGUGGGGCUGCAGGAGGCUGAUGGUGAGCUUGGAGGUUGGCAGAAUUCUAAAUCUGGGCACUGCAGGGUCCCCACAGGUCACGACCCUACUCUGCUCCACCCAGGCUCCGGAGGACCUGAGCAGGAACCUCUGCAGGGGGGGCCCGGGGCUCCCUGUCCUCUCAGCAGCCGGCAGUGCUCCCUGACAGCCCGGGCCUCUCCCUCCAGUAGUUCGGUAGUUUGCUGUCACCAACAUGGCUGGGCCUGGGACAGGCUCCUCCUCUCCCUCCAGAAGCCAGGCAGUCCCUCCUGCCUCAGUUUCUCAGACUAGGCCGCCUCUCCCAUCGCGAGACACUGAAGACCCUCAGCUGUUUCCAUCUGCCCAGUCUGACUGCUGGAUCGCCCUCUGUGUGCGUUGGUUUGCUGUGUUCUUGCUACUCGCCCUUGGAUAAGAUUUCUUCUCUACUCAUGAAGCUGCGUGUCCUGGAGGGCAGGGCCGCACCUCACAUGCAUGUUGCCCACAUAGCUCAGCAACAGAUGCUCUCACGCUUGUUAAAAGUAAAACCGGGCCAGGCGCAGUGGCUCACGCCUGUAAUCCCAGCACUUUGGGAGGCCGAGGUGGGUGGAUCACCUGAAGUCAGGAGUUUGAGACUAGCCUGACCAACAUGGAGAAAUCCCGUCUCUACUAAAAAUACAAAAAAUUAGCUGGGCGUGGUGGCACAUGCCUGUAAUCCCAGCUACUCGGAGGCAGGAGAAUUGCUUGAACCCAGGAGGCGGAGGUUGCGGUGAGCCAAGAUCACGCCAUAGCAAUUGCACUCCGGCCUGGGCAACAAGAGCAAAACUCUGUCAAAAAG
RNAcentral lists this long non-coding RNA (2566 nucleotides) under Homo sapiens (human). Its description in RNAcentral is "long independently transcribed non-coding RNA 574 (LINC00574)". Lineage: Eukaryota; Metazoa; Chordata; Mammalia; Primates; Hominidae. The record is from RNAcentral.